AUAUAUAUAUAUAUAUAUAUAAAAGAAGUGGUAGACACUAGGGAUGAGUUUGCCGCUCACAAGACUGGCACGAAAACAUUAAGUGAGGCUUAGGCAUGCCCGCCGAGCAUGUGAUGAUAAUCUAGACGUUGCACGCGCGUGUACGUGCAUGUUCUGAGCAAAGGUGAAAUUCUUGGGUUUUCAGCAUCUCGAGCUUCAGCGUGUUGUAUUAAAGCGUAAAGAUAAAUGCCCCCUUUAAUCACUUAAAGCGUUAUUUUCAGAAUUAUUUAAAAGUGUUUUUUUUUUGAGCUAGCAGCUAUUUAGAACAGGGCUGAGAAGUCAUCCACGAUCGUGGUAGCUGAUGUCCAGGAUAGAUCUGUUCCCGAAUCCGGUGAGCUGCGCUGAGACGGGAACCGGCCCACGGAUCCUAAAUAUCACCAGGCCGCUGCUGGAGCUUGGAUGCAGCUCAAGAACUACUGAGAGAGCUUGGGUAUUUUCCAGAGUAUCUUGGCUCCUGCAGAGACCAGUCCCCAUCAGACUGCUUUUUUAUUUUAAUAUCAAUUUUCAAGAAACUGGAAAUCUGCCUGUUUUCACAAGGCGUUUAUUCCAAAGCGCAGGAAGCAGGUAAAUAUCGAUGUGCUCCCCAGCACCUGAAAUGUGCUGUACUGCCUUCCUCCCCCUGCUCUCCGUACCGACCUCAGCAUCCUCGUAUGCAGACGGGGAAAGCCUCUGGCUUCCCACGGAGGACGGAGCUGCCUGCUGGCCCCGAAAGGCGCCGAAGGGACGCGGGUGCCGGCUGACCACACGUGGAGUGGCUGCAGCCGCCCUGCCCGUGGCCAGCCUCCCUCCUAACCUCAAGUCAUUAUGUUUUCUUGUGGGGCGAGGUGUUAUAAUCACUCGCUCCAGGCUUUUCAGCAUCUCUUCUGCCCAGCAUCUAAUCCGAGGCUCUGCGGUGACAACAAAUUGCAGUGGAUGGCUGGCUGGUCCAGCCCUUUUUUUUCCUAUAGGCAGAAACGUAGGUGAAAUCGGCUUUUACUUUUUGAAGAAAAUCAUUCUGGGAUAAUUUACUAAUAAAUAAUUACCGUGUUUGGCAGUAGGACAGAACUCGAACCCAAAAGUGAUUGUAGCCAUUGUUUUUCACAUUGAGCAGCAUUAAAUCCAAAAUGAGCGAGUUGGAAGCACUCUGAGCCCUGAGCAAAGCCGAGCCAAAAGCCGUGUUUGCAGCCUGCUGUCCAGCCACGACAGACCCGCCGUGCCCCUGCCUUCCUGCCCGGUGGGGCACAUCUGCUGGCGUGGCCCACUGGAAAGGCGAACGGCAGGCGUCUGUGAGUGGGAAGUAAAUGAAGCUGAUGGGCACGGAGCGCUUAUUUGCUCAACAGAUGUGAGUCGAGAAUGCGCGGUAAUCUGGUGAUUUCUGGAGCAUUACCUGCGACUGUUUUCCCGUCCUCGCUGCAAGGUUUCUUUUCAGCAAAUCCACAGCAUUUUGUGGUCUUUGGUAAACAAAUCGUUCUGCUAACCAGAGCAAAGUAGUCGGUGGGUACACAGACAGCUGGCUCCGAAGGAAGUUAAGCGAUGUUCUGCGUGCCGCUAGGGUGGCUGAUUUCCCAAGGACUUGGCUGUAGCUGGAGGAUGAUGCAAGCUGCAUCCUCCUGUCCCUGCUUGCACGGAGAGGCGUUUAGUGCUCAGGAAUGCAUAACUUUAGGUUACGGUUAAGGUCCUGCAGCUUUCCAGGUUGCUCGGGAUUUUUGGGACAUACGGGUGUCCUGUCCAGAGCACUCCCUUAAGGAGUGAAUCGAAAAUGAGAACAAAAGAGAAGAGAUUUGUUUCACUUGAGAAAAGGGAAGUAAUACUUCAAGAAAUAAAGGCCCUCACUCAGCAAAAUUUUGUGCCUAGCUGCUUUGCAGAGAAAGGAGCAGAGCGAGCGUGUUCAGUUAGAUGACUUUCCAAAUGGGAUGUGACUUUCUGAAAUAGUAUCGUGUAUUGGAGUAAGGAAACUUAACUUUCAGCCAGCCACGGGGUUAGGGCUUCUCAAUAACGAGAGAAAGGAGAUGCCAUUUUCUGUAAACGCAUUACAUUUUCCCCACUCAUCUCUCCCACCCCCUCUUGCUGAGGUGUAACCUCGUUUUUUCAGGUGCUGUAGUGCCGCCUCCUUGGAGAGGGUGCAGAUCUGGAGGUAAGCACGUGCUGACCUGAAAGGUGGCACCGUGGGGUGUUUAUGCUGGCUGAGACAGGCUCCUGGUUCAUGAUGCAGUAGAAGAGGCUUCCCAGGGCUCCUGCAGUCCCGUUGGUGGCUGCUAUGGGACCUCCAGCCUUCUCCUGUGGGCGCGCCUGGUCCAGCGGCUGCCUUGCCCCUUGGCAAAGACAUUGUGUUUCCAUCUGCCUUCAAAAUGGGGAAGAAGGCUUUGCUUCCUGUAAGCAUUUUUGGAGGUUACUUUAGAGGGUUUUAGAGAAAGUGCUGCGUAAAACUGAAAUACGGUUCAUUAAUAUUUACCAUGUCCUCUUCUCAGAAAGCUCCUGAAUUGUGACUUCCCAAUGAAAAGGGAUGGUCGUUCGAGGGAGAUGUCAUCUGGGCCGAUGAGCGGCAGUCCCCACAAGAACUUACUUAGGGUUUUUUGGUUUUCAUAGAUGGGGAUGAGUGCCCAUUUGUAACUUAUGAACCUUUUGUCUCUCCUCACCUCACUCAGACCCCCAAACAUCUCUGCUCGUCCUGGUGCCUAUACUGAAGGCUCCCGUGGUGAAGCUGCUCUUACCGCUGUGGACUUUGUUCCCCGUGAUGGUUUCUGGUUCAGAAAUACACGAAAACGGAAUAAUUCCUGGGUUCCUAAGUGAAUUUCCUGUUUGUUCACUUUUUUUCCUCUAAUAUGCUCUUUGUGUUUGUGAAUGAAACAGAAUUAGGGCUAAUUUAGUUGAUUGGCUGCAAAACAAAAGUAUUCAGUGCUAAGAAUGGGAAAUGAGAAGGCCUUUCUGCAGUGUUACUUCUUUGCAUAAUUGUAAUAGAUUAUAAUUAUACAGUUGGGCGUCGAGCAGUGGGUUUGCUGUAAACACGGUCAUGUGAAAUGUCUGGCUGCUCCCUUCUGCCGGUUUGAGGCCUGGUGCGGCCCCGCCGACGGCUGCCCCAGCAUCUCCAGCCGUGUUUUCUCCUCCGGCAGGAUGGCGUGAUAGCGACGGCGCCGCCGUCUUCGCUCCCCUUCCCGGCUCCUCCCACAAAAUUACCGCCGGUCGAUGCGGCCAUGUCAGGCUGUUGACACAAAUCAAUGAGAUCAAUCACUCCUCAGCUCCUAAACAGAGCCGAGAGCUGCGCCGAGCCAUCCCGGCAGCGCUUGCUAAAGGGAAAACGCGUGCUGCGACGGUUUAGGAAUAGACUGGGGGGACCCUGUCCUGCUAAGGAUCAGUUCUCCAAGGUUGCAAAAAGAGCGUGGUGUAUGUCUAUGUGGUAUAAAUGUUUCCUUCUGCUUCUGCAAAAUGCAUCUUUUCCUGCAUUUGCAGCUGGAUGUGUGUGCUGGGAGCGGGCUGGAGAGGUUCCCCUGGCCGUAACAGCGGGCUGCUGCAUCCCUUUAGUGUGCCAGGUUAAUGCAGUGGAGCUCAUUUUCAUUCACGUGGCCAUGGGGCAAGCAUAGUUACAAACCCUGCUUUCCUUCCCUUCCCCUAGAAGAUCUUGACUUCGUCUGAUCUGUUUUUUUGCCCUGCAAAUGAUGGCAGAGUUGUAUCAGAAUACCAGAAUUACUGGUGCAAUGGGGCAGUUCGGUGUGACUGCCAGAAAGCCCAUCAACUUCACUUGCUGCGGUCUGCAAGAAGGAAAUCAGAGGCUGCUUCUGGAAGUCGGAACCUUCAUCCGAAGGGGAGGAUGAAUCUUUGUGCUGAUGUCUGGUUUUGUAUCUGAGAAGGCUUGUUUGGGUGUGCCUGCUCAUGGACGCAGUCAGCUGCUGCGGGAGGAUAAACACAUAAAUGUUUCAUCUCCUCGAUUUGCCACCAACCAUUGUGCUGGGUGCUAGCAGAUUUUUUUAAUUAAAUAUAAUUUAUCUAAUCCUAGUGAGAAACAUAAUUACAGGAUUUAUUUUGUAUAUGGCGACUUUAGAAUUACUUAAUAAAGAAGAGUAACAUUUCCCCCUCAAGGGCUGUUUAAAAACGAACAAACAAAAUCAAAAAACAAACUGCACUUCGCUAAAAGUAAUAAAUCUCAGGCAGGAAGCAAGAAAAAAAGGCAUCUAAUAUGUUGGAGCUGCAAUAAAGCUGAAAAUUAAUAAUCGGUAAGUUAGAGCUGCAAGAGAGCAAAUGCAUUAUGGAUUUGAGGAAAUGCCUAUAGCUUAUUGAAUGGCAGCAAAGUUUUGCAUAAGCAGGAGAAAACCCUGCUCAGAAAACGUAAAACUGCGAUCUGCAGCCUGAAGAUCCAGUGCCACAGAGGAUGUGGAGCCGUGUGCACGGCUGAAAUGUAAGAAGGUACUUUGCAAGAUCAGGGGCUGAAAUUGCAUGCUAAACUUCUUUAGUUUCUGCUCAGGGGGGUUUAAGCAUUGCAGGAAGGCACGGCUGUAGUCUCAGGGCGAGAUUUAGUGUACUGUGAAACGCUCACAUGGAAAGGUUUGUAUGGCUGUUUAAAAUAAUUUAAAACAAAUAGCAGCCCUCCACCCUCCCGUCCUCUCUCACGGUUUUCUUUCCCCCCUAAAACCGAAAGGUAAGGCUACUACUUGAGUUGUAAUGGAAUAAUAUAUCAAGUGAGUGAUCACAUCAGGCAUGGACACUUACCAAAUCACAGUGAGAUAACUGUGAAUAACUCUCUAGUUUCAACAAUUUGCAUGGCCAUUAACAAUUGAUGGGUUUCCCUUAGAACCGCAUUAUCUGUGGCAGCAGGAUCUAUUCCCGCGUACCGCUCCUGCAUGCUAAGUGCCAGAGAAUUUCUCAAAAGUAGGGGUAAUAAAAAUCUGAUGGCAGCAAGGUGAGCGGAACAGGUAGGGAUUUAGAGGUGACAUUUUCUUGCAGGUGGGGAAGUAUUUCAGGCAAUUGUUCAUUUCACUCUCUCCCUUCCCCAGCUGCUUUUUCAAACACAGCUCUGCAAAUCUUCGUGCAGGCUUCUGUGAGCUUUCCCUUGACUGCUUGGCAUGUUCUCGGGCUGCAUGGCUGGCUGUGGCACGUGGACCAGUUUAAGACACGUUUUAAAAAACAUUUUGGUUUAGGUUUGGAUUGGCCACGUGUCUCAAGCAGCUUUUAUGCAUAUUUGACAAAAAGAUGAAAAUGGGGUAAAUUUAGCAGUGCUGGGUUGCUAGAUGGCUCUUUUAUGGGAGCGCUUUUGAGGAGGUGUCCAAAAUGUGUUUUCCUUGUGAGAAUCGUGCCACCGUUUCAGUGAGCACACAGCGAGCCCCGCGCUUUGUGCUUUCACCUCCGGCUUGCAGUAUGUCAGCUCUUGUCGGAUCCCUCUGUCAAGUUGACUUCUGCAACCCCAAAUCUCGUCUCUUCUCUCUUUUUCCUUCUCUUGAGCACAUUCUUCCUGCUCCCCCCUUACUUUUCACAGCUGUUGAUGCAAGAGCAGAGAACGAAGUGGUGGAGGGGAAGCAUGAGCCGUCGCAGCGGGUGAGCUGCUGGGGCUCAUGGAGGAGGUCAGGGAUGUACCAGAGCCCGUGGUGCAGGCACAAACAAUGAAGUCUAAGAUGUGUUCCAUAGAAAAUGCCUUCUGCAGGUGUGCCACGUUGCAGUGCUGCACAGGAGGUGCUCAUUCCCCUUGCAGUGGAGAAAACCAUGGAGAAAACCACAGCUCUCUGAGGGGCUUCGUUAAACUCCGUGUGCGUCUCUUGAUGCAGAGCUCCCGAUG
Oxyura jamaicensis (ruddy duck) is the source of this 5779-nucleotide long non-coding RNA. RefSeq lists it as uncharacterized. NCBI's taxonomy places the organism in Eukaryota, Metazoa, Chordata, Aves, Anseriformes, Anatidae. The transcript has 3 exons. The record is from RefSeq and is a predicted model, not a curated record.